RNAcentral lists this ribosomal RNA (253 nucleotides) under uncultured bacterium. Its description in RNAcentral is "partial 16S ribosomal RNA". It matches the Rfam family "Bacterial small subunit ribosomal RNA", at positions 524 to 776 of the family's 1533-position model. The record is from RNAcentral.
UACGGAGGGUGCGAGCGUUAUCCGGAUUCACUGGGUUUAAAGGGUGCGUAGGUGGGAAUGUAAGUCAGUGGUGAAAUCUCUGAGCUUAACUCAGAAACUGCCAUUGAUACUAUGUUUCUUGAAUUUUUCUGGAGGUCAGCGGAAUAUGUCAUGUAGCGGUGAAAUGCUUAGAUAUGACAUAGAACACCAAUUGCGAAGGCAGCUGGCUACAGGGAUAUUGACACUGAGGCACGAAAGCGUGGGAUCAAACAGG